GACGAACGCUGGCGGCGCGCUUAACACAUGCAAGUCGAACGGAAAGGCCUGCUUUCCCUUGUGGAUUGCGGGUACUCGAGUGGCGAACGGGUGAGUAACACGUGAGUGAUCUGCCCCCAACUUGGGUAUAAGCCUGGGAAACUGGGUCUAAUUCCCGAUAGGACUGCAGGGUGGUGCCUGUGGUGGAAAACGAUUUUCUAGUGGUUGGGGAUGAGCUCGCGGCCUAUCAGCUUGUUGGUGGGGUAAUGGCCUACCAAGGCGGCGACGGGUAGCCGGCCUGAGAGGGUGGACGGCGACAUUGGGACUGAGAUACGGCCCAGAAUCCUACGGGAGGCAGCAGUGGGGAAUAUUGCACAAUGGGCGGAAGCCUGAUGCAGCGACGCCGCGUGGAGGAUGACGGCCUUCGGGUUGUAAACUCCUUUCGACCGCGAGGAAGCCACCUGGUUGGAAGGGUGGUGACGGUAGUGGUAGAAGAAGCACCGGCUAACUACGUG
Molecule: ribosomal RNA, 494 nt
Filed under: uncultured bacterium
Lineage: Bacteria
Description: partial 16S ribosomal RNA
Rfam family: Bacterial small subunit ribosomal RNA
Source: RNAcentral